CGAAAGACCCACCCGGAAACCAGAUCGGCCGGACUAAUUUUUGAACCGGUUUUUAGUAAUAGUAAAAAAGACCGUAGUUUCUCUAAAAAAAAAUUUGGUCGGAAGUUUCUCUAAGUUGAGUAAGCUCUAACCUCAACCUCGCCUCCUCUGUUUCUCCAUUUUCAUUGUCGCCUCUCUCUCUCUCUCCCAGCAAGCUAGCAACCCCAACCCUAGCUCCACCGUAGGAACCCUCACCACCGUCGUCGCCAGUCGGUCCGCCUUUCGCUAUUGCCACCAUCAGUGCCAUAGGAGAACCCAACCCAGCUCGUUGUCGCCACCAUCACCUCUCGUUGUUGCCUCUCUUUUGCAGCUCUACCGACUUCUAUUUGCGGCCUGUCUUUGCUGUCAAUGUGCCUAGCCAGCCGAUUCUCCAAUGGAAACAAGUUGAUAGAUCAAGACAUAUCAAUGGAAGUGGAUGGAUAUGAUGAAAUGAGUCUGCUAAUGGAUUAACUAUGUUGUUUGUUUUGUUUUCAAGUGGUUAGAAUUUGGAGAAAUAAUUUUAUGUAUGAAUAAGGGAUGAUGUUUUAUAAUUUAUGUUUUAUGUUAUGUGUUUGUUAUUGUUAAUAAUUGUACAUGACUAUGUGUUCAUCUUAUGAAUUGUUGAUUUUGGCG
Molecule: long non-coding RNA, 651 nt
Organism: Syzygium oleosum
Lineage: Eukaryota; Viridiplantae; Streptophyta; Magnoliopsida; Myrtales; Myrtaceae
Exons: 2
Source: RefSeq, a predicted model, not a curated record